This 205-nucleotide ribosomal RNA is filed under the name uncultured bacterium. Its description in RNAcentral is "partial 16S ribosomal RNA". It matches the Rfam family "Bacterial small subunit ribosomal RNA", at positions 524 to 728 of the family's 1533-position model. The record is from RNAcentral.
UACGGAGGGGGCUAGCGUUGUUCGGAAUUACUGGGCGUAAAGCGCACGUAGGCGGCUUUGUAAGUUAGAGGUGAAAGCCCGGGGCUCAACUCCGGAAUUGCCUUUAAGACUGCAUCGCUAGAAUUGUGGAGAGGUAAGUGGAAUUCCGAGUGUAGAGGUGAAAUUCGUAGAUAUUCGGAAGAACACCAGUGGCGAAGGCGGCUCA